GAGAAAAAUUUUUCCUGUAAAAUUUAUUUCCAUCGCUACCUGUUUAUAACCGUCCUUUGCCAGCAUUCUGUGAAGUUUGUUAAGGGCACGUCUAGCUAAAAUCAUCCCAGAAUUAUCGGGAAGAUAUGAAAUAGUAGUAAUAUCUUCAUUGUUGUUAUCUUCCUUCCAGGAUUUGUACUUCCUAUUGUCAGUCACAACAUUCACCUGUAAACAUAAAGAAAUGAUGAAAGAGAAAACGACUCUAAAUUUGGGUGACAGCUGUCAAGAUGGUGCAUAAUCAAGAUAAACGACUUACAUGAUGAGGAACAAACUCGUCAUUUCCUCUUGUGCUUCCGGUAGCACAACACGCCAUGUUCACCAAUGCUGCUGUAGGGAAUGAAUCAUACACCGAACGUACCUAAAGAAAUGAGUGAACAACAAUCACUGAGCUAUAUACUCCUGAACAUCUCGCUUUAGUGACGACUAGUAGACUAUCAAUGUAUUCCCAAUGAUGAUGACGUCAAACGUUGAAAAUACCUCAGUAGGAUUAGGAUUGUCAUGUGUUACAUCCAUGUAGAGCGCAUGCGCGACUGAGUUUACCAUGGGUUUACCAGAAAGAUGAAAGAAAGCACCAACAGGUUCACCACCGUAACGAUAGACAAGUCGACCUUGCUCAUGCGAGUCAUGCGCAGACAUUGCCUCUAUGAAUAUAUAUAUAAAAUAACUUACCCUACAACAUAACAACGGAAAUUGAACAUGAAAAUUUACGGAGUGAAAUAAAUGUAUGUUAGAUCUAUAACUGAUGCUUUUACCUCUAAUAAGUGAGGUCAAACCAAGUCUAUUCACAAAGACGUUGUCUGUAAACUCUGAUUCAGUGAAAAGUUCCGCAAUAACGUAGAGAUCAGGACGAACUUGACGAGCUUCAUCAAUGAAAUACUUGAAAAUAUAAAAUUUUUUCGACAAUAAUACGAUGUUGAAAGAAAUUUUAUUGAAAAAGAAGUUUUUGGUCUAUUCAAUACAAGUUAAGUGAUCGUUCUAGAUAAAUGAAUGUUUCUACCUCAGCAACAUGUAUAGGUGUACUGUGACAAUUGUCCAAACGUAUUCCGUGAAAAAUACUGAAAUAUUAUAGAAAACGAUCAUCAUACAAUAUCAACAACUUCUCCGACACGAUUAAACAUUUAAAAACUA
Long non-coding RNA from Xenia sp. Carnegie-2017, 1167 nucleotides. RefSeq lists it as uncharacterized. The record is from RefSeq and is a predicted model, not a curated record. NCBI's taxonomy places the organism in Eukaryota, Metazoa, Cnidaria, Anthozoa, Malacalcyonacea, Xeniidae. The transcript has 2 exons.